Long non-coding RNA from Dioscorea cayenensis subsp. rotundata (Guinea yam), 925 nucleotides. RefSeq lists it as uncharacterized. The transcript is spliced from 2 exons. The record is from RefSeq and is a predicted model, not a curated record. Lineage: Eukaryota; Viridiplantae; Streptophyta; Magnoliopsida; Dioscoreales; Dioscoreaceae.
CAAUGCCAUGUCCUUGGACUUAGUUACUCUGUCGAUAACCAAUGCCACUGUUGUGCAAACAUCAGAUCAUACUUUAUUUAUUUUAUGUGUUACAAUUUUGUUUGUUGUUUACCAUUAUUAUUAUACACAUCAGAGCAAUAUUCUUUUAUGGUUAGGACUUGGCUGUUGUUUGGAAGAUAGCACUCUUUUAUUAAGUUAUUUUUUAUACAUUUGAUAACAUCAUUAGAUUACAUCAUCAAAAUUUACUGGUUAUGUAAUUAUAAUCAAUGUUUAGGGGCAACAUGCCGUUUUUGACUUGUCUUUGAUGUUAAUUCAAAGUUAAACAUGCCGGUUUUGUUAGGUGAGAUUGAAAGUACAAGCUAAUGAUUCUAUGAUUAGAUUAACUAAACCUACUUGUCUUCUCCUUCUUUUAUGUUUCAUGUUUUUAUCUUCUUUAAUGUAAUGAUUGUUUGGAAAAUCCCCAAUGCUUAAUGCAGGUAUGUCUUUUGGUUUUUUAAUCUUAAGAUUAGGGUUUUUGCCAGAUCUGAUGAUUGUUUUUCAUGUCAAAAUUUGAUCUUUUUUGCAAGGGGCUUUGUGGGACUGGAUUGAGUUGUUGUUGGACUGUGGGAUUUUUUUUUUUGGGAAAAAGAAAAUUAGGUUCAUCAUCUGAGGCACUACAUGCUGAGGUUAGAGAUUUGCAUCAAACUCUUAGUCAAGUCCAAGAUAGUGAGGAGAGGUUUCAACAGACACUUGGCCAAGUACAAGAUAAUAACAAGGAGCUUCAACAAAAUUUGCUUGAAAUGAAAGAGAGACCACACAGGACUCACAACCAUUUACUGGCAAUCAUAAUGUUGACUUAUAAUUGUAUUUGUCGUAUACUUAUUAUUUUGUGUUGAACAUAUAUACUUAAACAUUUAUUUUUGUAUGAAUUGAUGAGUUUAUCUUA